This 1524-nucleotide ribosomal RNA is filed under the name uncultured bacterium. Its description in RNAcentral is "partial 16S ribosomal RNA". It matches the Rfam family "Bacterial small subunit ribosomal RNA". The record is from RNAcentral.
UAGUUCGAUCAUGGCUCAGGAUGAACGCUGGCGGCGUGCCUAAUACAUGCAAGUCGAACGAAACUUCUUUAUCACCGAGUGCUUGCACUCACCGAUAAAGAGUUGAGUGGCGAACGGGUGAGUAACACGUGGGCAACCUGCCCAAAAGAGGGGGAUAACACUUGGAAACAGGUGCUAAUACCGCAUAACCAUAGUUACCGCAUGGUAACUAUGUAAAAGGUGGCUAUGCUACCGCUUUUGGAUGGGCCCGCGGCGCAUUAGCUAGUUGGUGGGGUAAAGGCUUACCAAGGCAAUGAUGCGUAGCCGAACUGAGAGGUUGAUCGGCCACAUUGGGACUGAGACACGGCCCAAACUCCUACGGGAGGCAGCAGUAGGGAAUCUUCCACAAUGGGCGAAAGCCUGAUGGAGCAACGCCGCGUGGGUGAAGAAGGUCUUCGGAUCGUAAAACCCUGUUGUUAGAGAAGAAAGUGCGUGAGAGUAACUGUUCACGUUUCGACGGUAUCUAACCAGAAAGCCACGGCUAACUACGUGCCAGCAGCCGCGGUAAUACGUAGGUGGCAAGCGUUAUCCGGAUUUAUUGGGCGUAAAGGGAACGCAGGCGGUCUUUUAAGUCUGAUGUGAAAGCCUUCGGCUUAACCGGAGUAGUGCAUUGGAAACUGGGAGACUUGAGUGCAGAAGAGGAGAGUGGAACUCCAUGUGUAGCGGUGAAAUGCGUAGAUAUAUGGAAGAACACCAGUGGCGAAAGCGGCUCUCUGGUCUGUAACUGACGCUGAGGUUCGAAAGCGUGGGUAGCAAACAGGAUUAGAUACCCUGGUAGUCCACGCCGUAAACGAUGAAUGCUAAGUGUUGGAGGGUUUCCGCCCUUCAGUGCUGCAGCUAACGCAAUAAGCAUUCCGCCUGGGGAGUACGACCGCAAGGUUGAAACUCAAAGGAAUUGACGGGGGCCCGCACAAGCGGUGGAGCAUGUGGUUUAAUUCGAAGCAACGCGAAGAACCUUACCAGGUCUUGACAUCUUUUGACAAUCCUAGAGAUAGGACUUUCCCUUCGGGGACAAAAUGACAGGUGGUGCAUGGUUGUCGUCAGCUCGUGUCGUGAGAUGUUGGGUUAAGUCCCGCAACGAGCGCAACCCUUAUUGUUAGUUGCCAGCAUUAAGUUGGGCACUCUAGCAAGACUGCCGGUGACAAACCGGAGGAAGGUGGGGAUGACGUCAAAUCAUCAUGCCCCUUAUGACCUGGGCUACACACGUGCUACAAUGGACGGUACAACGAGUCGCAAGACCGCGAGGUUUAGCAAAUCUCUUAAAGCCGUUCUCAGUUCGGAUUGUAGGCUGCAACUCGCCUACAUGAAGUCGGAAUCGCUAGUAAUCGCGGAUCAGCAUGCCGCGGUGAAUACGUUCCCGGGCCUUGUACACACCGCCCGUCACACCAUGAGAGUUUGUAACACCCAAAGCCGGUGGGGUAACCUUUUGGAGCCAGCCGUCUAAGGUGGGAUAGAUGAUUAGGGUGAAGUCGUAACAAGGUAUCC